This 247-nucleotide long non-coding RNA is filed under the name Solanum tuberosum (potato). RNAcentral's name for it is "long non-coding RNA (STUB_LNC001555)". The record is from RNAcentral. Lineage: Eukaryota; Viridiplantae; Streptophyta; Magnoliopsida; Solanales; Solanaceae.
CAUAUAUACACACAAACACACCCAACAACACACACAAAAAAAGAGACAACACAGACACACACGCUACACACACAUACAAUCAACAAUACCACACAACCCAUAAGUCCACUCCCAUUAUCCCACUAAGACCUACACUUCCCACAGAUACACACACGGACGAAAAAGAAAAAAAGAUCAUCAGCAACCAAAAAAAAGAAAAAACACACACAAACGUAUAGCAAAAGAAAAAAGGAGAACUGCCUCCCCC